Molecule: ribosomal RNA, 497 nt
Filed under: uncultured bacterium
Lineage: Bacteria
Description: partial 16S ribosomal RNA
Rfam family: Bacterial small subunit ribosomal RNA
Source: RNAcentral
GAUGAACGCUGGCGGCGUGCCUAAUACAUGCAAGUCGAGCGAACAGACGAGGAGCUUGCUCCUCUGACGUUAGCGGCGGACGUGUGAGUAACACGUGGAUAACCUACCUAUAAGACUGGGAUCACUUCGGGAAACCGGAGCUAAUACCGGAUAAUAUAUUGAACCGCAUGGUUCAAUAGUGAAAGACGGCUUUGCUGUCACUUAUAGAUGGAUCCGCGCCGCAUUAGCUAGUUGGUAAGGUAACGGCUUACGAAGGCAACGAUGCGUAGCCGACCUGAGAGGGUGGUCGGCCACACUGGAGCUUGGACACGGUCCAGACUCCUACGGGAGGCAGCAGUAUGGAAUCUUCCGCAAUGGGCGAAAGCCUUACGGAGCAACGCCGCGUGAGUGAUGAAGGUCUUCGGAUCGUAAAACUCUGUUAUUAGGGAAGAACAAAUGUGUAAGUAACUAUGCACUUCUUGACGGUACCUAAUCAGAAAGCCACGGCUAACUACGUG